RNAcentral lists this ribosomal RNA (358 nucleotides) under bacterium enrichment culture DGGE band 61_1_FG_Ac. RNAcentral describes it as "bacterial SSU rRNA". It matches the Rfam family "Bacterial small subunit ribosomal RNA", at positions 515 to 874 of the family's 1533-position model. The record is from RNAcentral.
CCGCGGUAAUACGUAGGGGGCGAGCGUUACCCGGAUUCACUGGGCGUAAAGGGGGCGUAGGCGACUCAGUGUGUCGGGUGUGAAAUCCCACAGCUCAACCGUGGAAUUGCGCCCGAAACUACUGGGUUUGGGGCUGGUAGAGGGAGAUGGAACUGCUGGUGUAGGGGUGAAAUCCGUAGAUAUCAGCAGGAACGCCGGUGGGGAAGCCGGUCUCCUGGGCCAUGCCCGACGCUGAGGCCCGAAAGCUAGGGGAGCAAACCGGAUUAGAUACCCGGGUAGUCCUAGCCGUAAACGAUGCUCACUAGGUGUGGGGGAGUCAUUCCUCCGUGCUGCAGCUAACGCGUUAAGUGAGCCGCCU